Molecule: unclassified non-coding RNA, 336 nt
Filed under: soil metagenome
Description: partial contains 5.8S ribosomal RNA, internal transcribed spacer 2, and large subunit ribosomal RNA
Rfam family: 5.8S ribosomal RNA (bases 1-120)
Source: RNAcentral
GAUGAAGAACGCAGCGAAAUGCGAAAAGUAGUGUGAAUUGCAGAAUUCAGUGAAUCAUCGAAUCUUUGAACGCACAUUGCGCCCCUUGGUAUUCCAUGGGGCAUGCCUGUUCGAGCGUCAUUUGUACCUUCAAGCUCUGCUUGGUGUUGGGUGUUUGUCCCGCUUUUUGCGUGGACUCGCCUCAAAGCAAUUGGCAGCCGGCGUACUAGCCUGGGAGCGCAGCACAUUUUGCGCAUCUCGACUGGAACGCUUGCGUCCAUUAAGCCUACACUUUUGCUCUUGACCUCGGAUCAGGUAGGGAUACCCGCUGAACUUAAGCAUAUCAAUAAGCGGAGA